RNA transcript from Rosa chinensis, 3765 nucleotides. RefSeq lists it as uncharacterized. The transcript has 6 exons. The record is from RefSeq and is a predicted model, not a curated record. Lineage: Eukaryota; Viridiplantae; Streptophyta; Magnoliopsida; Rosales; Rosaceae.
AUGUUAGUUUUUUUUUUUUUUUUUUUGGGGGGGACGCUCUUUUCCUUUCUCAAGCCCCACUGAAGUGGCCGAACCACAGACUCCCGAACUCCAGCACCGUUCCUUCACUUCUUCUCCUCCUCUCCGUCUCCGAACUCCAGCCUCCAGUUCUUCAGUUCUUCGGCGGCUCCCAGCUCGGCCCUUGAUCAGUGUUCAAAAUUGCUAGGUUAUUCAGUCCAAUCACUCCACCGAAAGAGAUUUGAAGAAGGGGCAGAGCAGUUCCGAAUAGAUGUUGCCCAGAAUCCAAAUGAUACAGAGGAGUCCAUUUGGUGCUUUCUUUGUGAAGCUCAAUUAUAUGGAAUUAAGGAAGCAAGAGAACGGUUUCUUGAGGUUGGCCGAGAUCCAAGACCUGUCAUGAGAGAAGACUAUAUCAUGUUUAAAGACAGUGGUAAUCCAGAAAAGGGAUUUGAGUGAAGCUUUUCCUCUCUGACCAAACAUUUUCUUAUUUGAGCUUGUUGUUCCUAGGUGUGGUUAUGGAAGUUCAAGCCCCACCGAGCCUGUAAUCCUAGAUCCGCCCUUGGAAGGCUGGGUCUUCGAAACCUCCAAUAGAUCUCACGAGUUAGUGGCUGGUGCAUCCAAGAGAUUCGAUAAGAUCAGAGUUCUCUCUCUCUCUAAAAAAAAAGGAAUUUGUUCUCCACUUUUUUUUUUUAUUUAUUUAUUUUUUUUUUUGAAAUUUUGAUUGCCAAUUUGACAUCGUCUAGAGAACAUGAAAUGGAUUGUUCAUCACAGUUGCCAGUUUGUAUUUAGGGCUUAGCAUUUACAUUCACAAAAAGUUUCCAUUCCACUUUUCUAGAAUACAUAUUGCCAAUUUACCAUGUUCUGAGGAACAUAAAUUGGUUGUGUGGUGUAUCAAUCACAAUUCUAUCAAGUAAAUUGUUCAGUCGGACUCUUCUCUUUCUUUCUUUCCUUUUUUCUACUUUAUUUUUAAUGAAAAGAAAUCGGGUGGUCUUUAGUUUGGAUAUUAUAUUGUUGCUUAUUUGAAAAGUAAAACAUAGCUUUCCUUUUUUCGGAUUUUGCAAUUCCAUAGUUAGGACUGCCAUAUUCAAUCUAAAUCUGCCUUGAGCUAAACGGACCUUACAUUGCAGAAAGAUGUGCAGGUGCUGAUACUUUCUCUCUCGUUGCUCGAAUAUUGCAUAGAUCCAAGGCUCAUCUCCAGACAAUGCUUUUUCAAAAAAAUGCUGCUGUAGUUGAAGAUUUCUAUGUGAAUUUGGUGGAUGCUGUACCAGAUCUUAUAGAGCAAAUUCAUAGGAAAACUGCAAGAUUGCUCCUCCAUAUUAACGGGUAAGACCAGAAAAUCCAUUACUGGGUUGGGUUGUUUUGUUGUGCAAAUAGGCAGGUCUUUUUUGGAAAUUAUUGGAAAUAUGUUCUGUUAUUAUAAAUUUCUUGUUUUCCUCUGGUCUCUAGUCUAUAAUUUUCCUCGUCUAUUUGACUAUAGUAUCUACUUAUAAUUACUUUGGUAGUUUUAAAUUUUACUUCAGUUUUAGUGUAUAUCACCGAGUUAUUAUGCAACCAUGAAAUUUAAAAUAAGAGUUGGGGAAGAACUGGACUAGAUUCUCUAUUCAACUGUAACAUCCUACAAGUAUCCAGCUGCACAAAUGGUAUUGUCUGGAUUGUGUGUCUUUUCUUGAUAUUAUGUUCUUGUUGAUUGUUCUUUGAUUAAUAGCAUGGUAUUGAUUUUAGUUAGUUUAAUUGUGCUAGUUUGCAAUCUCACUCCUGAAUUUGAAAGAAGUUUGGAAUUGGGCAGAAAUACUUGAGUUGUGUUUCAAUUCUAUUUUUGUUCCGUUUGGGAUUUGGGGUGAGUGACUUCCUUCCUUGCUAUUGUUUCUAGUCUCUCUUUUUAUCAGUUAUGUGGAAAUUGGGGAGGUUGCUAUUGGUCAAUCUGUUCAUAUUCUUCUCUUUGGUUGUUCUAACUUUACCUUGAUAGAUGAAUAUCAACUCCUCCGAAUUCUAUCAGGUGAUAAAGAGAUGGGUAUAUUUUCAAAUGUUUAAAUGUUAGUUGUCCAAAAGUGGGUGCCAUUCUUUUUACUCUGGUAAUUCUUGGUAGAUUAUACUUAUUUGAUCGUUUUGUAAAUUGGUUUGUGGACUUCGUGGUUAGUAAGUGUUUAUUGAAUUGAUGGUGCAAUCUUUUCUUUAUUCUGUUUUCUAUGAACAACCUGGUUGUAAUUUAUAUAUUAUUGUUUUUGUUGGUAGUUACUAAAUCUUGUUGAGUAGAAACCUAUGUAUGUGUCCGCAUUGCAUGAAACAAUGUCUCUGCCUUACGUUGCCCACAUGUUAAUGGUUAUAUGUUAAGUUGCAAUUUCUUCUUAGCAACUCAAGUGCUUGUACUAUUUUAGUUGCUCCCUGAUGACUCUUUUAGUUUCACUGUCAUGAGCUUUCAUUUGUGCUUGUACUAUUCAACAUAUAUAGCUAUAAAUAUAGUCACUUGACUCAAUUUCUCAUAACUUUGUUAUUAUGUCCAUGCCUCAUUCACCAAAAUGAUUAACUAAUCCAUAUAUAGCUAUAAAUAUAGUCACUUGACUCAAUUUCUCAUAACUUUGUUAUUAUGUCCAUGCCUCAUUCACCAAAAUGAUUAACUAAUCCUUCAUUAGCCAAGAUGAAACUGAGUUCUUAAAUUGAAUAGGCUUAAUCAGCAAAUUCCUAAUGGAUUUAGCUGCACAAAUCUACUGCAAUUUCAACUCCACAUUUUUGAGGCCAAGAAACAGCAACAAAUUCAAUUAUAUAGUGAAGUAUUAUUUUGACAGUUCAUAGAUUGAACUGUUAAAAACAUAUAUAUACUUCAAAAUGUAAGACUAAAAUUCUAAAUCUAGUAUUCUAAGAUUAAACUAGUAUGUCAGUUAAAGGUGUUAUUACAAGGCGAACAGAAAAUUUCCAUACAGGAACUUACCACAAUCAAAAGCAAUGACAAGUUUCAGUUUUAUCUCUUCCUCCUAGAAGGGAAAACAGAAAUUGAAUGGUUAAUUCAUCUGCAGUCUGAAAUAUCACUACUUACUUAUGUAUGUAACAUUCAAACCAUGAAAUAUAUCAUCCAAUGCUUAUACCAAAGAAAGUUUAGUAAUAGUUCGCAGUCAGGCAUUGCACACUUGGAGUUGAAUUUGACUAAAUACCGAGGUUAUCAGAUCAUAACCAGAAACAGGGAAGAAAACUAAGAUGUUUUAUAGAAAAUGGACUAGUACAAUCGGUGGCAAAGAAAAGAUUUAAACAAUCAUGUCACUAACAUAGAAUACAUGUCAACAGUAUGAACUGACAUCGGUAAAACACUGUAGAAAGAUGCAAAAACAUAAGAGAAAAGAGGAAGGGGAGGAGGGAAUCAAAUACAGAACUUAAAUAACUACCCACAUCCAACCCAAAUCCCUAGUCCAGGUAAUUUUGUUUUCUAUAGAAAGAAAUAACUCAAUAUGAGAGAGAGAGAGUACUGAACAAUGGAAAAGAAGCUUACAAGCUACAACUGAGAAGCAGUGGGCAAAAUGUCAAAAAUAAACUAGAACAUCUGAGGCAUUAGAUAAAGUUUCAUUCUAGUUUGAAAAUAUUGUCAGAAAAGCAGUUGUCCCCGCAGUCAUAAGAAAAUGAAGCCAAAGUCCAUAAUUAAGUCCUCCCCCAUCAAAGUGAUUGGCUAAUUCCUUAAUGAUCGUGAUUAAAUCAAUUAAUUGAGGCUGAUUGAUUCAAUUAUGCUAUUAAGGAAAAUGCAAUUAAUUACGUGUCAUCAAGGCAUUCCAAAUUGAGAGAGAC